RNAcentral lists this ribosomal RNA (2143 nucleotides) under human oral metagenome. RNAcentral describes it as "bacterial LSU rRNA". It matches the Rfam family "Bacterial large subunit ribosomal RNA", at positions 480 to 2644 of the family's 2925-position model. The record is from RNAcentral.
UUGACCGAUAGUGAAGAGUACCGUGAGGGAAAGGUGAAAAGAACCCUGAGCAAGGGAGUGAAACAGAAUUUGAAACCGUGUGCUUACAAACGGUAGGAGCACUUUAUGUGUGACUGCGUGGAUUUUGGUUAAUCAUCCUGCGAGUUAUGGCUGGUGGCAAGGUUAAUAGACGGAGCCGAAGGGAAACCAAGUCUUAACAGGGCGACAAGUCGCCGGCCAUAGACGCGAAACCUAGUGAUCUAGGCCUGUCCAGGCUGAAGCUGAGGUAAGACUCAGUGGAGGGCCGAACUCACCGCCGUUGAAAAGUUGGGAGAUGAGAUAGGUCUAGGGGUGAAAAGCCAAUCGAACUAGGAGAUAGCUCGUUCUCUCCGAAAUGCAUUUAGGUGCAGCCUUGAACUGAGAUAUGUGGGGGUAGAGCUCUGUAUGAUCUAGGGGGCGUACUGCUUACCGAAAUCAAGCAAACUUCGAAUACCAUAUAUCAUGUUCAGGAGUGAGUCCGUGGAUGACAAGGUCCUCGGACGAGAGGGGAACAGCCCAGACCGCCAGCUAAGGUCCCUAAUUAUGUCUAAGUGGGAAAGGAGGUGGACAUUCAUAGACAACCAGGAGGUUGGCUUAGAAGCAGCCAUGCCUUGAAAGAGUGCGUAAUAGCUCACUGGUCGAGAGUGCCUGCGCCGAAGAUGUAACGGGGCUAAGACAUAAACCGAAGCUGCGGAAGAUACCACGUAUCUUGGUAGGAGAGCGUUCUGUAGGCCGUCGAAGGGAUGCCGCAAGGCCAUCCUGGAGGUAUCAGAAGCGAGAAUGCAGGAAUGAGUAGCGAGAAGGCGGGCGAGAAUCCCGCCGGCCGGAAGUCCAAGGUUUCCAGGGGAAGGCUUGUCCGCCCUGGGGAAGUCGGGACCUAAGCAUAAGCAAAAUUGUGACGGCGAAUGGAAAACAGGUUAAUAUUCCUGUACCGCUGUUAUCGCUUGAGAGACGGAGUGACGCAGGAAGGUAUGCGAGAAGGCUGACGGUUUAGCCUUUCUAAGGGCCCAGCGUGGGCGUGCAGGUAAAUCCGCACGCCUAAACGUGAGACCUGACGGGGAAGUGCAUUUGCAUAAGUCGCAGAUCCUACACUGCCAGGAAAAACUUCUAUCGAUGAGAAGCAGCGCCCGUACUGUAAACCGACACAGGUGGACAGAGUGAGAAACUUAAGGCCGACAGGAUAACUCUAGCUAAGGAACUCUGCAAAAUAGCCCCGUAACUUCGGGAGAAGGGGUGCCUGACAUACCUGAAGAGAGAGACGCUCCCAGGGGAAACAGGCCGCAGUGAAGAGUCUCAAGCAACUGUUUACCAAAAACACAGGUCUAUGCUAAGCUGAAAGGCGACGUAUAUGGGCUGACACCUGCCCAGUGCCGGAAGGUUAAGAGGAGGAGUGAGAGCUCCGAUUUGAAGCCCCGGUGAACGGCGGCCGUAACUAUAACGGUCCUAAGGUAGCGAAAUUCCUUGUCGGGUAAGUUCCGACCUGCACGAAUGGUGAAAUGAUUUGAGAGCUGUCUUGGCUGGAGACCUGGUGAAGUUGUAAUGCCGGUGAAGAUACCGGCUACCUGCAGUAGGACGGAAAGACCCCGUGGAGCUUUACUGCAGCCUGGCAUUGGGUUCUGGCAGUGUGUGUAUAGGAUAGUUGGGAGACUGUGAUGCAGUGGCGUCAGCCAUUGCGGAGUCGCUGUUGGAAUACCAACCAUAUGCUGCCGGAAUUCUAAUCUGGCAACGGAGACAGUGCUAGGCGGGCAGUUUGACUGGGGCGGUCGCCUCCCAAAGAGUAACGGAGGCGUUCAAAGGUUCCCUCAGGCUGGAUGGAAAUCAGCCUAAGAGUGCAAACGCAUAAGGGAGCUUGACUGCAAGACUGACGGGUCGAGCAGGUACGAAAGUAGGAGUUAGUGAUCCGGCGGUUCCGCAUGGAAGGACCGUCGCUCAACGGAUAAAAGCUACCCCGGGGAUAACAGGCUGAUACUUCCCAAGAGUCCAUAUCGACGGAAGUGUUUGGCACCUCGAUGUCGGCUCGUCUCAUCCUGGGGCUGGAGAAGGUCCCAAGGGUUGGGCUGUUCGCCCAUUAAAGAGGCACGCGAGCUGGGUUCAGAACGUCGUGAGACAGUUCGGUCCCUAUCCA